Molecule: long non-coding RNA, 7102 nt
Organism: Peromyscus californicus insignis
Lineage: Eukaryota; Metazoa; Chordata; Mammalia; Rodentia; Cricetidae
Exons: 2
Source: RefSeq, a predicted model, not a curated record
GCGUCUCUCUCUGGUAGGCCCUGUCCGGAGCCGAGCGGCCCGCGCGCGGACGGAAAGCCGCAGGGGUCAGGCCGCGGCCUGCUGCAGCCCCGCGGUGCGCUCUGAGCUGCGGGGCGCCGACAGGUGACUGUCAACCCGGGCGGCGGGGACGGCUGGCGGAAGGGCGCGGGCGAGCUCCGGGGUAGAAGGAGGUGCAGGCUCGGGGGCGAAGCGGCGCUCGGGGAGUGGGAAAGCGUGCGGGAGGCGCCGUGGAGCUCUGCCACUCCAUGCCACACGUCCCCUGCCGGAGCCCACCCUGCUCCCCAGCUGGGAGAAAGCUGCCUUCGGAAGAAGGUCAAAGCGGCGUUCUAUAGCCUCCGCGGGGCCGCGGCGGGAAUUGCUGUCGUGCGGGACGUCAUUUAUCUGAAUCUGACUAUCUCGGGUCUGGAAUUGGAGACGGUGGUGAUGCUCCGGAAGAACUGCCCCAGACAGUACGAUCGUGGUCACUGCAGGCCUCCUUGUUACUCCAGGAAUGUCUGCUACCUCCAGAACUUGGGUUCCUGUGUGGUCUGGCCUUUCCAUCUAGCUCCAUCUGCUCUCCAGGAUGUGUACAGUCAGGCAGCCUGGGUUGAAGCUGGGCUGUUUCAGGUGUGUGUGCUUGAGUAAGUCACUUAACCUCUCUGAAUUGUUUGUUUCUUCCUGUGAGAUGGGUCAUAAUAAAGCUUGCAAGGUGGUGCAAUGCUCAACACUGCUGUUAGAGCCAAAGCACACCCAUCAGGAUGAGAGCAUUUAUUUAACAUGUUUAUCUAAACUUAAUAAUUCUGUGUUAUUUUCCCAGCCUCUCUAAUGAUAAAUCUUCGAGCUGCUUCUUAUUUUCCAACAUAGUAUUUCCACAUGGGAAUUAAUUAGUUGCAUGUCAGUAAAAUGUCUACAGCCAUGUUUCUUUAUGCCUUCUUGAGGUCCUGCUGUACAGUGUUUGAGUUGAAGUGUGCUCUGUAGGCACUGCUUUAAAAGACUUGGGUUCCUCCAGCAGAGCAUUCCAUAAGGACCUCCACACAGCCUCUGUGUCUUCCUGCUGACUGCUCUGCCCACUCUGCUUAGAAUCCUAGUGAUUGACUUUCACCUAAACAGCUCCUGCAGCUCCAGCAAAAUCCCAUGAAAGAGCCACCUUCUCAGUCCUUCCUACAGAGCCCAAAGCAGGAGUGACUUCUGAGAAGCCAGUCAACACAGUCUCAGUCACCGGCUCCUGGACUUUGGUCUGGCACUGGCAUCUUUUCUUGGCUAAUUCAUAGGACUUGGCAUUCACCUGUGGACACUUGGGACAGCCAGCUUUUGCCUUAGAGGAUUAAGUAGCACCAUUUAGAGCUGACUUAGAACUGUAUUUUUUUUUUUAAUCUCAUAAGCUGGGCUUAGAGCGUCUUUCAUAAAUCAGGAAUGUUUCUUGGAAAUGUGGUUCUCACUGAAGUCUGUCCCGUGUUCUUUUCUUGUUUGUUCUGUAGUAACAAAUGCUUUUGACUGUAAUAGCAUCAAUAGAAACAUGAUUGACAAGAAAAUGUGUCAAUUUGUUUCAGUCCAUUUCAGUGCAUAAAUAGUUUUAUUAAACAAGACAAUGCUAGGGAAAUCUUUAUUACAUUUUAAAGCAAAAUGAUGCAGUUGAACAAUAAAGCUGAAGGGAGUCUCUGUUAAAGAAAACAAAGAGUUGGUGUGAUGGUACACAUCCUUUUGAGUUUGUGGUUCAAGGCCAGCCCUAGUGACUGCUGGCCUUGAACCGCAAACAUUCAUACUGCUCUGAGUGGGAAAAGAACAGAUUUUGAGCUGUGGCUCACGUGAUCAAAGUGAUCCUGUGUGAGUCAGUGAGUUGUACUCUAUGACAGGAUUAACUAUUGUGCUUUUGACGUCUUUGAGAUCUAUUUGAACAAUGAAUAGCUUACUACUUCUUCCUGAACCCUUCACCAGGAAGCACUAGAGACUGCAGUGCUAUUCUCGAUGGGGCUGAGCAGGCUGGGCCUGGCCUGGUAAAGUAAGUGACCCAAGGUUGGAGGGUUGCCCUGGGGCCACUGUGCCACAGUCAGGAGAGUAGUCCUGCCAGUGUUAAGCCUGUCUGUUUUAUCGUCCGUUGUUGGGUGUACAGUGCUGAGGGAAUCAAGACUGAGGAAUUCUUGUAGUUUUUCACAUUUGUAAACCACCGGUUGAAUGUAGUUCAUGAGAGUUUUCCCCCUAAUAUUGAGAUGAGCUAUGCAAAAUCAAGUGAAGUUGCUUUCCAACUUUAAUUUUUAGAUACAAAUUAAGUUUUAGCCCUGAUAACUAUGCUGGGUCCAAGCUUAUGAAUAGUGAACCCUUGUUUAAAAUGUUAAGUAUACACUGAGGUCUUAGUAAUGGUCAUUUAAGAAUCUGAUACAUCCCCCCAGGAUGGUCUUGCCUUAAACACCUGGGUUCCCUUGUCCAGCCUCAGAAGUAGAUGGGGCUACAGGCCUACAGCCUUUAUCCCCCCCCACCCCGAGGACAUUUUUUAUGUUUAUUUUUAAAUUGUUUAUUAUAUUUAUUCACUUUAUUUUAUGUACAUGUAUGUCUGAGCAUGCACCACAUGCAUGCCUGGUGCCUGUGGAGGUCAGAAGACAUGAGAUUCCCCGGAACUAGUUACAGAUGGUUGUGAGCUGACAUAUGGGCGCUGGGAAUCAAACAGGGGUACUUUGCAAGAGCAGCCAGUGCUUUUAACCAGGCUCUUCCCCAGCCAGUGAUUUUUGUUUGUUUGUUAUUUUUGUUUUGUUUUUUAAGGGUUUUUCUGUGUAGCCUUUGGAGUUUCCUGGAACUCACUGUAGACCAGGCCAGCCUCAAUAGAGAUCCACCUGCCUCUGCUUCCUGAGUGCUGGGAUUAAAGGUGUGCACCACCACUGCCAGGCUGAGUGUUUUUUUUUUUUUUUUUUAAAGAAAUGUCCUAGGGUGGUUUUUGUGUGACUUUUUGUUCUUCCUCUGGUACUGAUCAUCCUUCGUGAGAGUGAGAUGCAGUUCUGGCCUCUGCAGAGUGGGUCCCACAGCCCCUCCACAUGUUACUCAAGCUUUUCUGUGCAGAGGCUGGCACUGAAAGCAGUUCCCUCCCAGUCAGAUUGUGGUGCCUGCCUGGGGCUUCCUGCAGGUUAUUUCCUUAUCUGCAGUGAUGUGGAGCUUUGUACUUAAUCUAGAGCCUGGGAGCAGAUUCCUCUACAUCUGAACUGAAGUUGCUAUUAACUGGAAGUGCUCAUACUGACCUCCAACACAUGGUGCACCCCGUGUUUAUCCAGUGAUGGCGUACAGCAUGCACUUGGUACCUUUAAGUUUUGCUUCCACACGCACUUAGGCAUAAGAUAAAUCUGUACUGUGUGGUUGAUGGAAAUUGCAUCCUCUGUUCUUUUUAUUAAUCAGUGUCAGGGGUUGGAGAGAUGCUUCAGUAGUUAAGAGCACUUACUGCUCUUGCAAAGAACUGGGUUUGGUUCCCAGCACCCACAUGUGGUGGGUCACAAUCAUCUGUAACUCCAGCUCCAGGGGAUCAGGCACACACUUGGUGCACAUACAUAAAUGAAGGCAAAACAUCCAUACACAUAAAAUAAAAAUUAAACCUUGAAUGUUAAGACAAACAUGCAAAUAGUGUCAGGUAGGCCAGUGAUUGCUUAGCAGGUAAAGGCACUUGAGUUUGCUCCCCAGGACUCCCACGAUCAGAAGGGAGAACCAACUUCUGCAAAGUAAUCCUUACACACACACACACACACACACACACACACACACACACACACACACGUAAUAAUAGUAAUUUACAGACUAAUAUCAAGCUGGGUGGUGGUGGUGCAUGCUUUUAAUCCCAGUACUCAGGAGGCAGAGGCAGGUGGUUCCCUGAGUUCAAGGCCAGCCUGGUCUACAGAGAGAGUUCUAGGACAGCCAUGACUAUGCAGAGAAAUCCUGUCUUGAAAAGCCAAAACAGCAGCAACAAAAAAAAACCCAGAUGACCAGUUAAGAAACUACCCCCCCCCCCCCCAAAAGAGGUAUUUCUUUGCUCAUUACUGACACGCUUUCGGGCACCAAACUCACCUCAGCCUGCACGGUUAGAAUGAUUUGGAAUAAUACCUUUGAGAGAAUUGAUGGCAAUUCUUUUUCCUCUCCUAAAGAAAUGGCUGCAGAAAACUUGGGCUCUGGGCCUAAUGUCGAUUCCAUAAGGCUCCUCUGUUGUUUUUCCCCUGUCCCUCUGCCAUGCGGAGAUGUGUGCUGAUAAGCCACCCGCUCUGUACCUGAGGGUUCUUUGUCAUUUCAGACAGCAUGGGCUUUUGAGAAUGCCCGAGCCGGGAGGCCAAGUUAUAUAAACUGCAUUCAUAGUUAAAUAUUUGCUUCCAGGGGGAGGUGAAAAAUGCUUUGUACUUUUUCCUCCAAAAGAGCUUGUCAUGCAACAACAAGAAAAAGUGGCCAACGGCAGAGAAGGCUCUUCUCUUUCCGUGUUGGUUUGUUUUUGUUGUAAGGCAAACCUUUCCUGUUGUAUUGUUCUAAAGCUUAAACCUGGCCUGGAGGUGCCAGUCUUGAGUGGAAGCAGCUGCAGAGCCGUCCGGGCCAGGUGGGACCGGCUUUGAAGCAGCAUGCUGCCUUUUCAAAGAGAACUGAACAGCCAGCCAGCGAGCGAGCGAGCGAGGGCUUGACUCUGUAGGGCUGUCAGCAUUCCACUGUUGUCAUCUCUGACUGCAGGUUCCAUAUUACAUGUGAAAAAGACAUGCGAUCCCUUUUCAUGUGCAGAGUAGUCUUGUUAGUGUGUAUCUUACAAAUACAGAAAUGGUGGGGGGAGUCACUGUUAACAAUUAACAAUGUAGCAGCCCCAUCUAAUUAAGACCACAGAGAAGGUUCCUUGAGAACUGGGUUUGGCUUGUCUGCCUGGGGUUUUUGAGCUUGGUUAAACUUUCAGAUAAGUGUAAUUGGCAGGAGCCAGCUGGCUGGUCUCAUAUCUGGACUCUUGAGAUGGAGGCUCUUGGUUGGUGUGGACAUGUCUCGUCUUUUGAUUGAGUGGUACUGGUAGCAGUGAGCUGAGCUUCACUUGUCUGCUGCUAGGAAGCAUUGGGCAUCAAAGAACUUUUCUUCCUCUGGGAAAAUGGAAGGGACAGGCAUGGAGUUAAAGGGACAAGAAAAUUGCCAAAAUGGUUUCCUCCGGGCUUUUGAUUCCCUUGCCAACAACUUGCCUCCAGAUGGAGACGCACAAAAUCCCCUAUUGUAGACUAGCCUGCUUUCACUGGCCUGCCUCUGUGAGCCAGUCUAAACCCUUUACCUCAUUCUCAGUACCCAUCUGCCGUACUACCCUCCAGCUGCAAGGGUGAGGCAAGUUGCCUUGAAACCGAACCUCCCACCGUUUCAACCAUGCAAGCAAUAGCAGGUUCCUGGGCUUGGUGUAGCAUGGCAGUGGCUUCCUUCCUCUGAAGUUCCUGGAGCAGUCCUGCCAGGUCGACUGUUGGGUGACACGUGUGGUAGGAGGGUUCUGGGAAGGAAUCUGAGCAAGCCCUGUGGCUUUGUGUGGGCUUGUUACUAGCCUGGUUGCCUAGCACUCUGGGCUGGUGCAUGGAGAACGUGGUUCAUGUUUGAACUGUUUCUUACUUCACUGCUUCUAGAAAUCUGGACACUCCAAUUUCCUUUGGAAGGUAGUAUUGGUGGGCUGAAAACAGAGGAGAAUCCUGUGUCUGGAUUACUGGGGACAGUGGCAAACUAAGACUGGCAGAAUUGGGCACACUUGACUAUUAUAAGCAAUAGGUUGUUCUGGGCAAGUUAUUUUCUACAUCUGGAAAACAAGGGUAUACCAUCAUAGUUUUAGUUUGUUUGUUGUUUUGAGAUUCAUCUGCCUCUGUCUCCCAAGUGCUGGGAUUAAAGUUAUGUGGCCACCACACACUUGAGCUUGCUAUAUAGCUAAGAAUGGCCUUGAAUUCCUGAUCCUUUUUUUUGUUGGUUUUUUUUUUUUUUUUUGAGACAGGGUUUCUCUGUAGUUUUGCGCCUUUCCUGGAACUCACUUUGUAGACCAGGCUGGCCUCGAACUCACAGAGAUCCUCCUGCCUCUGCCUCCCGAGUGCUGGGAUUAAAGGCGUGCGCCACCAUUGCCCGGCGAAUUCCUGAUCCUUUUGCCUCCCUUUCCCAUUGUUGGGAUUUGUACUAGCACGACUGAAAACAAAACUGUUCGUUUUAAAAGAAUUUUCUUGGGCUAGAGAAAUGGCUCAAUACUUAAAAACACUGACUGUUCUUGCGGGGGGUGGGGGUGGGGAGGUGGCGGCGUGUGUUCAGAUUCGAUUCCCUGCAUCCACAUGGCAUCUCACAACCAUCUGGAACUCCAGUUCCAGAAGAUCGAUCCAACACCCUCUUCUGGCACCAUGGACAAUAGCCACGCACAUGGUGCACAGACAUACCUGUAGGCAAAAUACUCAUACCAUAAAAUAAAAUGAAAAACUUUUCUUGGAAAGGAGGUGCUGGGUACUCAUGAGUAACAUUCAGCGUUAAUUCCCUUUCCUUUUCAUUAUGCCAGCCUCUGUUGGCUACUUACCAGACCAACCUUGGCAAACGACCUUCCCAUGAUUUUUUUGAAAUGGAAAUUGGGAUGGCAUUACUGAUUUUCAGAUACUGCAUUUUAAAGUUGGCACCAAAAUAGUUCAUAGUAUAGGGUGUAUUGGAUAGUGCCAUAGCUGAUUUUAGUUAGAAUUCACAUGGCAUAGAGGCCAGCUGUGUAUCCAGGGUGUCACCUGUGCGGCUGUAUUCUUAGAGACGCAUCCUUAGGUGGUUUCAUUGUUUGAUCAUGUUUUGUACUUAGGCAUGAACAGGGUAAGUCCGCACACCGAGGCAAGGUCCCGGUGACUGUGCUCCCAGGCUGCCAACCUCAGGAGCACAUUACUGUACUGCAUGCUGUGGUAGCUCUAACACUGUGGCAAGUGUCUGUGCCCAAAGCCACUUGUGAGUGUCAGAGCAGCACGGUGCAGACAGGUGGAAGUGCAGCAGUGCAGCUUGCUGUGGAGCAGCUGGACACCAACUGGAGCCGUCCCUGCAGACUUCACAGGUGUGCUGUGCUCAGACGACCCUUGUUUAAAGUGCUUUCUCAUCAACAGUGAAUUCACCUUAGCUCAUCUUCUUUUGGUGUUCUGUUGUU